UACGUAGGGACCGAGCGUUGUCCGGAAUUAUUGGGCGUAAAGAGCUCGUAGGUGGUUUGUCGCGUUGUUCGUGAAAACUCACAGCUUAACUGUGGGCGUGCGGGCGAUACGGGCAGACUGGAGUACUGCAGGGGAGACUGGAAUUCCUGGUGUAGCGGUGGAAUGCGCAGAUAUCAGGAGGAACACCGGUGGCGAAGGCGGGUCUCUGGGCAGUAACUGACGCUGAGGAGCGAAAGCGUGGGGAGCGAACAGG
Molecule: ribosomal RNA, 253 nt
Filed under: uncultured bacterium
Lineage: Bacteria
Description: partial 16S ribosomal RNA
Rfam family: Bacterial small subunit ribosomal RNA
Source: RNAcentral